This is a long non-coding RNA of Ahaetulla prasina, 742 nucleotides long. RefSeq lists it as uncharacterized. The transcript has 4 exons. The record is from RefSeq and is a predicted model, not a curated record. Lineage: Eukaryota; Metazoa; Chordata; Lepidosauria; Squamata; Colubridae.
UCGGGCCACACCCACAAAAUAAGCCACACCCACUGAACCAGUAUUUAGAACCCACCCCUGGUUUGUUGAGAUUUGCCUCCAGGGACCUCGUAAUGGGAUCUUUCCUGGGAAGCAAAACACUUCCCAGCUGCAGAGACCAACAGAUAUCUUCAUGCAUGGAAGGAAGUGGGCUUUCAAUAGACCAGGAAGCAGCUUCAGAUCUGAAGAGGUGCUCUUGCUACAUGUGUUUCAGAUACCGAUUUGCUCCUGGAAGUUGAGAAGGUGGCAAGAGUGUUGCUUCCAUGGGCUCAAAAGAUCAGAGAAAUUCAAGCAGAGAUUGCUGACCUUCAUUACAAACUGAAUCAUGACUGGACGGCCUAUAACGGCCACCUUUAUUUACUUAAUUUUCAGUUUUUUGAUUUUUCUGGCACAAUAACUGAAUGCAAUAGAAUUAAAGGUUACAUAGCCGAUGUUGAAGAUGAAGCGGAGGAGAUCGGGGUCUCCCACCUUAGUACCUUUAAGAUUUGUGGACUUCAAUUUCCAGAGUUCCUCAGCCAGAAAAGCAGGCAGAUUAGUUGCUUACUGAGGAAAUGGAUUAGCUAGCAACUGAUUCUGCCUGCGUGCUGAAUCUGCUCCUUUCGGGCUGGGAAAGCCAUUGUUUAGAUCAGUAAUUAGAGGUUCUUAGAAGAAAUAACUCAAGAGAGACACAUUAAUUACUGGAUUGGAUUGCGUUAUCAUAACAGGACAUGGCGAUGGGUUUUAA